UACGGAGAGGCAGCAGUGGGGAAUAUUGCACAAUGGGCGAAAGCCUGAUGCAGCUAUGCCGCGUGUAUGAAGAAGGCCUUAGGGUUGUAAAGUACUUUCAUCGGGGAGGAAAAAACAAAACUAAUAAUUUUAUUUCUUGACGUUACCCGAAAAAGAAGCACCGGCUAACUCCGUGCCAGCAGCCGCGGUAAUACGGAGGGUGCUAGCGUUAAUCAGAAUUACUGGGCGUAAAGAGCACGUAGGUGGUUUUUUUAAGUCAGAUGUGAAAUCCCUGGGCUUAACCUAGGAACUGCAUUUUGAAACUGAAAUACUAGAGUAUCGUAGAGGGAGGUAGAAUUCUAGGUGUAGCGGUGAAAUGCGUAGAUAUCUGGAGGAAUACCUGUGGCGAAAGCGGCCUCCUAAACGAAUACUGACACUGAGGUGCGAAAGCGUGGGGAGCAAAC
RNAcentral lists this ribosomal RNA (443 nucleotides) under uncultured bacterium. RNAcentral describes it as "bacterial SSU rRNA". It matches the Rfam family "Bacterial small subunit ribosomal RNA", at positions 340 to 773 of the family's 1533-position model. The record is from RNAcentral.